UACGUAGGGUGCGAGCGUUAAUCGGAAUUACUGGGCGUAAAGUGUGCGCAGGCGGCUUCGCAAGUCGGGUGUGAAAUCCCCGAGCUUAACUUGGGAAUUGCGCUCGAAACUACGGAGCUGGAGUGUGGCAGAGGAAGGUGGAAUUCCACGUGUAGCGGUGAAAUGCGUAGAGAUGUGGAGGAACACCGAUGGCGAAGGCAGCCUUCUGGGCCAACACUGACGCUCAUGCACGAAAGCGUGGGGAGCAAACAGG
RNAcentral lists this ribosomal RNA (253 nucleotides) under uncultured bacterium. RNAcentral's name for it is "partial 16S ribosomal RNA". It matches the Rfam family "Bacterial small subunit ribosomal RNA", at positions 524 to 776 of the family's 1533-position model. The record is from RNAcentral.